GGGUCAGUAGGUUGGUCGUGCCACCGGUACGUACUGGUCUCACUGAUUCCUCCUUCCUGAAGAACCGUAAUGCCAUUAAUUUGGUGUUGCGGGGAAACAGGACUGUUACUUUGAAAAAAUUAGAGUGUUUAAAGCAUGCUAACGCUUGAAUACAUUAGCAUGGAAUAAUGAAAUAGGAGGAUCGAUCCUAUUUUGUUGGUUUCUAGGAUUGACGUA
Molecule: ribosomal RNA, 216 nt
Filed under: Glomeromycotina sp.
Lineage: Eukaryota; Fungi; Glomeromycota
Description: partial small subunit ribosomal RNA
Rfam family: Eukaryotic small subunit ribosomal RNA (bases 40-216)
Source: RNAcentral